CACCCUUGUCAAUGGGCAAAGAAAUAUCUUGUUUGUGGUGUUGUUCUUAUAUCAGUCAGGGGCAGUCCUUUUUUCAUCUUAACUUGAUGCCUGGCUUGGUGGGCAAAGCUGACUUCUGCCUGGGACUCAUAA
This 132-nucleotide small nucleolar RNA is filed under the name Mus pahari (shrew mouse). RNAcentral's name for it is "predicted gene, 23716 (MGP_PahariEiJ_G0034539.1)". It matches the Rfam family "Small nucleolar RNA SNORA48". Rfam says of the family: The snoRNA ACA 48 has been identified to guide pseudouridylation of the residue U3797 in the 28S rRNA subunit. The record is from RNAcentral. Lineage: Eukaryota; Metazoa; Chordata; Mammalia; Rodentia; Muridae.